UCCGUUCACAUUCGGAUUUUAUUGUG
This 26-nucleotide microRNA is filed under the name Tribolium castaneum (red flour beetle). Its description in RNAcentral is "tca-miR-3805b-5p". The record is from miRBase by way of RNAcentral. Lineage: Eukaryota; Metazoa; Arthropoda; Insecta; Coleoptera; Tenebrionidae.